Molecule: ribosomal RNA, 498 nt
Filed under: uncultured bacterium
Lineage: Bacteria
Description: bacterial SSU rRNA
Rfam family: Bacterial small subunit ribosomal RNA
Source: RNAcentral
AAUGAACGCUGGCGGCGCGCCUAAUACAUGCAAGUCGAGCGAGAAGACGUAGCAAUACGUUUGUAAAGCGGCGAACGGGUGAGGAAUACAUGGGUAACCUACCCUCGAGUGGGGAAUAACUAGCCGAAAGGUUAGCUAAUACCGCGUACGCUCCUUGGACUUCGGUUCAGGGAGGAAAGCGAUACCGUGGGUAUCGCGCUCUUGGUUGGGCUCAUGUCCUAUCAGCUUGUUGGUGAGGAACGGCUCACCAAGGCUUCGACGGGUAGCUGGUCUGAGAGGACGAUCAGCCACACUGGCACUGCGACACGGGCCAGACUCCUACGGGAGGCAGCAGUAAGGAAUAUUGCGCAAUGGGCGAAAGCCUGACGCAGCGACGCCGCGUGGGGGAUGAAGGUCUUCGGAUUGUAAACCCCUUUCGGGAGGGAAGAUGGAACGAGCAAUCGUUCGGACGGUACCUCCAGAAGCAGCCACGGCUAACUUCGUGCCAGCAGCCGCCGU